RNAcentral lists this ribosomal RNA (305 nucleotides) under uncultured bacterium. RNAcentral describes it as "bacterial SSU rRNA". It matches the Rfam family "Bacterial small subunit ribosomal RNA", at positions 335 to 657 of the family's 1533-position model. The record is from RNAcentral.
GAUCCUACGGGACGCAGCAGUGGGGAAUAUUGCACAAUGGGGGAAACCCUGAUGCAGCGACGCCGCGUGAGUGAAGAAGUAUUUCGGUAUGUAAAGCUCUAUCAGCAGGGAAGAUAAUGACGGUACCUGACUAAGAAGCCCCGGCUAACUACGUGCCAGCAGCCGCGGUAAUACGUAGGGGGCAAGCGUUAUCCGGAUUUACUGGGUGUAAAGGGAGCGUAGGUGGCAGGGCAAGUCAGAUGUGAAAACCCGGGGCUCAACUCCGGGAGUGCAUUUGAAACUGUCCGGCUAGAGUGCAGGAGAGG